Zonotrichia albicollis (white-throated sparrow) is the source of this 306-nucleotide non-coding RNA. NCBI's taxonomy places the organism in Eukaryota, Metazoa, Chordata, Aves, Passeriformes, Passerellidae. The record is from RefSeq and is a predicted model, not a curated record.
AACAGCAGGACAGAGUACAGAAAAGAGCCAGCAGGACAGGAAUGGGGAGCUCCUGGUGACCUGGGCACUUUCUCCUUCAUGUCCGUGACCUGGCAGGAGCUGCUUUAGGACAUGGAUCCCAAAGGAGCAAGAGGGACCAGGAAGCGCCACUGAUCUGCACAGACCCCUUUGCCUGCCGCUGCCCCACAGGGAACAGGAGCCGCUUUAGGACAUGGAUCCCAAAGGAGCAAGAGGGACCAGGAAGCGCCGCUGAUCUGCACAGACCCCUUUGCCUGCUGCUGCCCCACAGGGAACAGGCCAGCGCAA